AUGGCUAUAUCACAUUGAAACACAAGUUCUCAUACAAUCGCUGAAGUUAAGCAACAUCAAGCCUGGUCACUACCAAGAUGGGUGACUGUUUGGAAAUACCAGGUGCUGUAAG
Non-coding RNA from Acanthosepion pharaonis, 112 nucleotides. The record is from the annotation of a GenBank genome assembly. NCBI's taxonomy places the organism in Eukaryota, Metazoa, Mollusca, Cephalopoda, Sepiida, Sepiidae.